UGGAAGAAUAAUGUAAAGCGUUCAUCAUUUAAAAAAAAAACAUAGUUAGAGCUAUCUCCUAUAAAAACCCUUUGCUUGGAAGCAAAGUCCUCUCUUUUGCUGUAAAACCUGGAACGUAGUAGUAGUGCGCGCGUGUGUAGCAUCGUAAUUCGAGUGGUUAGUCCGUGUUAGUUACUAUUACAGCACGAUAAUUCGUCGCUAUUAAAAAUUAAUCGAAAUAAUGUGUUAGUAGGACGAAUGCAAAUUACAGUUAGUAAACGUGUAUAAAGCCAGUUGCACGAUUACC
Molecule: long non-coding RNA, 286 nt
Organism: Armigeres subalbatus
Lineage: Eukaryota; Metazoa; Arthropoda; Insecta; Diptera; Culicidae
Exons: 3
Source: RefSeq, a predicted model, not a curated record